CUACGGGUUGCACCAGUGGGGAAUAUUGCACAAUGGGCGCAAGCCUGAUGCAGCCAUGCCGCGUGUAUGAAGAAGGCCUUCGGGUUGUAAAGUACUUUCAGCGGGGAGGAAGGGAGUAAAGUUAAUACCUUUGCUCAUUGACGUUACCCGCAGAAGAAGCACCGGCAAACUCCGUGCCAGCAGCCGCGGUAAUACGGAGGGUGCAAGCGUUAAUCGGAAUUACUGGGCGUAAAGCGCACGCAGGCGGUUUGUUAGGUCAGAUGUGAAAUCCCCGGGCUCAACCUGGGAACUGCAUCUGAUACUGGCAAGCUUGAGUCUCGUAGAGGGGGGUAGAAUUCCAGGUGUAGCGGUGAAAUGCGUAGAGAUCUGGAGGAAUACCGGUGGCGAAGGCGGCCCCCUGGACGAAGACUGGCGCUCAGGUGCGAAAGCGUGGGGAGCAAACAGGAUUAGAUACCCUUGUAGUC
This 464-nucleotide ribosomal RNA is filed under the name uncultured bacterium. Its description in RNAcentral is "partial 16S ribosomal RNA". It matches the Rfam family "Bacterial small subunit ribosomal RNA", at positions 339 to 795 of the family's 1533-position model. The record is from RNAcentral.